This 322-nucleotide long non-coding RNA is filed under the name Apteryx owenii (little spotted kiwi). RNAcentral describes it as "lncRNA (ENSAOWG00000009788.1)". The record is from RNAcentral. Lineage: Eukaryota; Metazoa; Chordata; Aves; Apterygiformes; Apterygidae.
CAGCACCAGUCCUCCCCGCGCUCCAUCCCCGACUGCAGGCCUGAACACCCCUUCACCAGAGACUCAACAGCUCGUUUUCUGCCUGGGGCCUCCCCCCUAGGGGAAGCGUCAGCGGAGAAGGAUCCCUCCACCUGGGGAUCUCAGGAGGUGUCAGCGGAGGAGGCUACCUCGUCCCGUGGGAUGCGGGGCACGGCCAAGCUCAGCGCCAAUGGUCCUAAUGCCAGUCCUGGUUCCUGUACCUUCUCCUGACACUGGCAACAAGCAGAACAGCAAUCUGAACAAGUGUGACAGUUCCAGUUUUAUCAGAGACUGCUGCUUUCCA